CAGUAGCCACGGGAAUACGGAGGGUGCAAGCGUUAAUCGGAAUUACUGGGCGUAAAGCGCACGCAGGCGGUCUGACAAGUCAGAUGUGAAAUCCCCGGGCUUAACCUGGGAACUGCAUUUGAAACUGUCAGGCUGGAGUCUUGUAGAGGGGGGUGGAAUUCCAGGUGUAGCGGUGAAAUGCGUAGAGAUCUGGAGGAAUACCGGUGGCGAAGGCGGCCCCCUGGACAAAGACUGACGCUCAGGUGCGAAAGCGUGGGGAGCAAACAGGAUUAGAGAUCCGCGUAGUCCCUGUCUCUUAUAC
This 301-nucleotide ribosomal RNA is filed under the name uncultured bacterium. RNAcentral's name for it is "partial 16S ribosomal RNA". It matches the Rfam family "Bacterial small subunit ribosomal RNA", at positions 509 to 807 of the family's 1533-position model. The record is from RNAcentral.